This 253-nucleotide ribosomal RNA is filed under the name uncultured bacterium. Its description in RNAcentral is "partial 16S ribosomal RNA". It matches the Rfam family "Bacterial small subunit ribosomal RNA", at positions 524 to 776 of the family's 1533-position model. The record is from RNAcentral.
UACAGGGGGGGCAAGCGUUGUUCGGAAUUACUGGGCGUAAAGGGCCAGUAGGCGGCCGACUAAGUCCGACGUGAAAUCCCCAGGCUUAACCUGGGAACUGCGUCGGAUACUGGCUGGCUUGAAUUCGGGAGAGGGAUGCAGAAUUCCAGGUGUAGCGGUGAAAUGCGUAGAUAUCUGGAGGAAUACCGGUGGCGAAGGCGGCAUCCUGGACCGACAUUGACGCUGAACGGCGAAAGCUAGGGGAGCAAACGGG